RNAcentral lists this ribosomal RNA (722 nucleotides) under uncultured bacterium. RNAcentral describes it as "bacterial SSU rRNA". It matches the Rfam family "Bacterial small subunit ribosomal RNA", at positions 122 to 860 of the family's 1533-position model. The record is from RNAcentral.
GAACCUGCCUCAAAGAGGGGGACAACNGUUGGAAACGACUGCUAAUACCGCAUAAGCCCACGGCUCGGCAUCGAGCAGAGGGAAAAGGAGCAAUCCGCUUUGAGAUGGCCUCGCGUCCGAUUAGCUAGUUGGUGAGGUAACGGCCCACCAAGGCGACGAUCGGUAGCCGGACUGAGAGGUUGAACGGCCACAUUGGGACUGAGACACGGCCCAGACUCCUACGGGAGGCAGCAGUGGGGAAUAUUGCACAAUGGGGGAAACCCUGAUGCAGCGACGCCGCGUGGAGGAAGAAGGUCUUCGGAUUGUAAACUCCUGUUGUUGAGGAAGAUAAUGACGGUACUCAACAAGGAAGUGACGGCUAACUACGUGCCAGCAGCCGCGGUAAAACGUAGGUCACAAGCGUUGUCCGGAAUUACUGGGUGUAAAGGGAGCGCAGGCGGGAAGACAAGUUGGAAGUGAAAUCUAUGGGCUCAACCCAUAAACUGCUUUCAAAACUGUUUUUCUUGAGUAGUGCAGAGGUAGGCGGAAUUCCCGGUGUAGCGGUGGAAUGCGUAGAUAUCGGGAGGAACACCAGUGGCGAAGGCGGCCUACUGGGCACCAACUGACGCUGAGGCUCGAAAGUGUGGGUAGCAAACAGGAUUAGAUACCCUGGUAGUCCACACCGUAAACGAUGAUUACUAGGUGUUGGAGGAUUGACCCCUUCAGUGCCGCAGUUAACACAA